RNAcentral lists this ribosomal RNA (252 nucleotides) under uncultured Lachnospiraceae bacterium. RNAcentral's name for it is "partial 16S ribosomal RNA". It matches the Rfam family "Bacterial small subunit ribosomal RNA", at positions 1131 to 1382 of the family's 1533-position model. The record is from RNAcentral. Lineage: Bacteria; Bacillati; Bacillota; Clostridia; Lachnospirales; Lachnospiraceae.
UGGGGACGUCUAGGGAGACCGCCGGGGACGACUCGGAGGAAGGUGGGGACGACGUCAAAUCAUCAUGCCCCUUAUGUCUUGGGCUACACACGUGCUACAAUGGCCGCAACAGAGGGAAGCGAGAGCGCAAGCUGGAGCAAAACCCUAAAAAGCGGCCCCAGUUCGGAUUGUGGGCUGCAACCCGCCCACAUGAAGUCGGAGUUGCUAGUAAUCGCGAAUCAGCAUGUCGCGGUGAAUGCGUUCCCGGGCCUU